CGUAGGUGGCGAGCGUUGUCCGGAUUUACUGGGCGUAAAGGGAGCGUAGGCGGACUUUUAAGUGAGAUGUGAAAUACCCGGGCUCAACUUGGGUGCUGCAUUUCAAACUGGAAGUCUAGAGUGCAGGAGAGGAUAAUGGAAUUCCUAGUGUAGCGGUGAAAUGCGUAGAGAUUAGGAAGAACACCAGUGGCGAAGGCGAUUCUCUGGACUGUAACUGACGCUGAGGCUCGAAAGCGUGGGGAGCAAACAGGAUUAGAUACCCU
RNAcentral lists this ribosomal RNA (263 nucleotides) under uncultured prokaryote. Its description in RNAcentral is "partial 16S ribosomal RNA". It matches the Rfam family "Bacterial small subunit ribosomal RNA", at positions 526 to 788 of the family's 1533-position model. The record is from RNAcentral.